AGGCGAUGUGUUCGGCAUCACUGCAGGUACAACAGGACGAUAAGGAAGGAGAUCAAGAGAGAAUGCUAAUCCUGGUGUCCAGUAGAGAGAUACAAGAGUGACUGUGACAAGGGGGCCUGGCAUGCAAGGCUUAGAGCCCACCAGACCACCACUUCCUUCUUACCACCACACGGCUCUAUUUCCAUGUUUAUGGCUUGUUUACGGAAGCGUCUUUGAAUGAUCGUGUGAAACGGAUGGACGGCAGGAAAUGGUUGAAACUGAGAAGUACUGUUGGCUGCAACUGUGUUAAAGGGAAAUAAAUAAAACAACGUCUA
Oncorhynchus gorbuscha (pink salmon) is the source of this 314-nucleotide long non-coding RNA. RefSeq lists it as uncharacterized. The record is from RefSeq and is a predicted model, not a curated record. Lineage: Eukaryota; Metazoa; Chordata; Actinopteri; Salmoniformes; Salmonidae. The transcript has 2 exons.